This 447-nucleotide ribosomal RNA is filed under the name uncultured bacterium. RNAcentral describes it as "bacterial SSU rRNA". It matches the Rfam family "Bacterial small subunit ribosomal RNA", at positions 29 to 524 of the family's 1533-position model. The record is from RNAcentral.
AACGAACGCUGGCGGCAGGCCUAACACAUGCAAGUCGAACGCCCCGCAAGGGAGUGGCAGACGGGUGAGUAACACGUGGGAACGUACCCUUCGGUUCGGGAUAACUCAGGGAAACUUGAGCUAAUACCGGAUACGUCCGAGAGGAGAAAGAUUUAUCGCCGAGGGAUCGGCCCGCGUCUGAUUAGCUUGUUGGUGAGGUAACGGCUCACCAAGGCGACGAUCAGUAGCUGGUCUGAGAGGAUGAUCAGCCACAUUGGGACUGAGACACGGCCCAAACUCCUACGGGAGGCAGCAGUGGGGAAUAUUGGACAAUGGGCGCAAGCCUGAUCCAGCCAUGCCGCGUGAGUGAUGAAGGCCCUAGGGUUGUAAAGCUCUUUUACCCGGGAAGAUAAUGACUGUACCGGGAGAAUAAGCCCCGGCUAACUUCGUGCCAGCAGCCGCAGUAAU